GAUGAACGCUGGCGGCGUGCCUAAUACAUGCAAGUCGAGCGAACAGACGAGGAGCUUGCUCCUCUGACGUUAGCGGCGGACGGGUGAGUAACACGUGGAUAACCUACCUAUAAGACUGGGAUAACUUCGGGAAACCGGAGCUAAAACCGGAUAAUAUAUUGAACCGAAGGGUUAAAUAGUGAAAGAGGGUUUUGCUGUCACUUAUGGAGGGUUCCGCGCCGCAUUAGCUAGUUGGUAAGGUAACGGCUUACCAAGGCAACGAUGCGUAGCCGACCUGAGAGGGUGAUCGGCCACACUGGAACUGAGACACGGUCCAGACUCCUACGGGAGGCAGCAGUAGGGAAUCUUCCGCAAUGGGCGAAAGCCUGACGGAGCAACGCCGCGUGAGUGAUGAAGGUCUUCGGAUCGUAAAACUCUGUUAUUAGGGAAGAACAAAUGUGUAAGUAACUAUGCACGUCUUGACGGUACCUAAUCAGAAAGCCACGGCUAACUACGUG
RNAcentral lists this ribosomal RNA (497 nucleotides) under uncultured bacterium. Its description in RNAcentral is "partial 16S ribosomal RNA". It matches the Rfam family "Bacterial small subunit ribosomal RNA", at positions 28 to 507 of the family's 1533-position model. The record is from RNAcentral.